UGCAGAAUCCCGUGAACCAUCGAGUCUUUGAACGCAAGUUGCGCCCGAAGCCUUCUGGCCGAGGGCACGCCUGCCUGGGUGUCACACAUCGUCGCCCCCCAAAAUUCCGAUAUCUCGCCAGAGACAAUCGGGAAGAGGAUGGGCGGAAAAUGGUCUCCCGUGCGCUCCCGUUCGCGGUUGGCCCAAAAAUGAGUUCCUGGCAAAGCAAAGCCACGACCAGCGGUGGUUGUAAGACCCUCGGUACAAGUCGUGAGCCUUGCAUUGCUCGUAGGGACAUGUUGACCCUGAACGUGAUCGAGUAACAUCGAACACUCACAAAGUGACCCCAGGUCAGGCGGGACUACCCGCUGAAUUUAAGCAUAUCAAUAAGCGGAGGAAAAGAAACUAACAAGGAUUCCCCUAGUAACGGCGAGCGAACCGGGAAAUGCCCAGCUUGAAAAUCGGAUGCCCCAGGCGUUCGA
RNAcentral lists this ribosomal RNA (461 nucleotides) under Hypericum montanum. Its description in RNAcentral is "eukaryotic LSU rRNA". The stretch from base 321 to 461 matches the Rfam family "Eukaryotic large subunit ribosomal RNA", at positions 1 to 141 of the family's 3401-position model. The record is from RNAcentral. Lineage: Eukaryota; Viridiplantae; Streptophyta; Magnoliopsida; Malpighiales; Hypericaceae.